GUGUGUGUGUGUAUGUGUAUAUAUAUGGUAUAUAUGAAAAUCGAAUACAAUACAAAAUAUCGAUCGAUUACGAUCAUAAACAUAAAAUUAUUGAUCAGGACAUUAUUAAAACUCGAAAAGAAGUUUCAAUAUCGUAAAAAUCAAGCUGUAAAAUUGAAAAAAAAAGUACGACACAUCCGGUGUAUUCACGAGGCUGAUUUUAUUUUCGCGAAUAUCUUUUAUGUUCCAACUUGCGAACGUGGCUUCUUGCAAAUCGUGUGUAUAUUGGAAAAAAUUUAAUUACCUGUACUUCGCGAAAACGACGGGGAGACAUGUUUCCUUGGUACGAAAUGACACAGCAAUAACGUCAUCUACAUCGUGAAGGCAGAAGUUCUAAUGGCUUUGGAAGAAGAAGCUGCAACGAAGAAAAAAUUCAUGGGAAUAAGAUGCUGCACACAUCCACACAAAUCAUGGAUCGAGUAUAAUAAUGAAGAACAUUGUCUCCGAACUGUGAAUACUACUUACCUGUGUAAAUUGAUACGCUGCGUACAUAAUAUUUUAGAAAAAUUAGUACUUUUAAUGCAAAGUUAGUUUCCUUUCGUACGCCGACGAGUGCACAUCGCAGGAUACGUUCCUCGCAAGUAAUAACGGAAAGUUAAUAAUUACAUUGUGGAGUGGGGACACUGGGCUUCGUGAGACGACAACAAAGUCGAUUUCAGUCGGUCUUCGACCGAUUUUAAUGGUUAAUGGUUCAGUCUUGCUAUGAAUUUCGACGAGUAAACAUCGCAGUUUUCAUAGUACGCAUUCUCCACAAGUAAUAACAAAGAGUUAAUUUAAAUGACGUAGUGGCAAGCAUGACACGAUACAAGCGCACCAAUUGACAGUCAAUGGUUUAAUCUUACCAUGAAUUUCCACGAGUACACAUCGUAGUAAUCGUACGCAUUCUCUGCAAAUAAUGGGGAAUAGUUAAAUGCGGUAGUGGGGAUACACUACCACUCGUGAGGCGAUAUAAGGGACCGACUGACAUUCAAUGGUUCAAUGUUUCCACGAAUUUCAACGAACACACAUGAUAGUACUCACAAUACGCAUCCUCUACUAAGAUAAAUGCGGUAGUGGGGAUACACUACCGUUCGUGAGACGAUAUAAGGGACCGACUGACAUUCAAUGGUUCAAUGUUUCCACGAAUUUCAACGAACACACAUGAUAGUACUCACAAUACGCAUCCUCUACUAAGAUAAAUGCGGUAGUGGGGAUACACUACCGUUCGUGAGACGAUAUAAGGGACCGACUGACAUUCAAUGGUUCAAUGUUUCCACGAAUUUCAACGAACACACAUGAUAGUACUCACAAUACGCAUCCUCUACUAAGAUAAAUGCGGUAGUGGGGAUACACUACCGUUCGUGAGACGAUAUAAGGGACCGACUGACAGUGAAUGGUUUAAUCUUUCCACGAAUUUCAAUGAGUGUACAUCGUAGUACUCGCAAGUUAAAUGCGGUAGUGGGGAUACACUACCACUCGUGAGACGAUAUAAGGGACCGACUGACAGUGAAUGGUUUAAUCUUUCCACGAAUUUCAACGAGCACAG
This is a long non-coding RNA of Vespula vulgaris, 1564 nucleotides long. RefSeq lists it as uncharacterized. The transcript is spliced from 11 exons. The record is from RefSeq and is a predicted model, not a curated record. Lineage: Eukaryota; Metazoa; Arthropoda; Insecta; Hymenoptera; Vespidae.